RNAcentral lists this ribosomal RNA (1434 nucleotides) under uncultured bacterium. RNAcentral's name for it is "bacterial SSU rRNA". It matches the Rfam family "Bacterial small subunit ribosomal RNA". The record is from RNAcentral.
AGAGUUUGAUCCUGGCUCAGGAUGAACGCCGGCGGUGUGCCUAAUACAUGCAAGUCGUACGCACUGGCCCAACUGAUUGAUGGUGCUUGCACCUGAUUGACGUUGGAUCACCAGUGAGUGGCGGACGGGUGAGUAACACGUAGGUAACCUGCCCCGGAGCGGGGGAUAACAUUUGGAAACAGAUGCUAAUACCGCAUAACAACAAAAGCCACAUGGCUUUUGUUUGAAAGAUGGCUUUGGCUAUCACUCUGGGAUGGACCUGCGGUGCAUUAGCUAGUUGGUAAGGUAACGGCUUACCAAGGCGAUGAUGCAUAGCCGAGUUGAGAGACUGAUCGGCCACAAUGGAACUGAGACACGGUCCAUACUCCUACGGGAGGCAGCAGUAGGGAAUCUUCCACAAUGGGCGCAAGCCUGAUGGAGCAACACCGCGUGAGUGAAGAAGGGUUUCGGCUCGUAAAGCUCUGUUGUUGGAGAAGAACGUGCGUGAGAGUAACUGUUCACGCAGUGACGGUAUCCAACCAGAAAGUCACGGCUAACUACGUGCCAGCAGACGCGGUAAUACGUAGGUGGCAAGCGUUAUCCGGAUUUAUUGGGCGUAAAGCGAGCGCAGGCGGUUGCUUAGGUCUGAUGUGAAAGCCUUCGGCUUAACCGAAGAAGUGCAUCGGAAACCGGGCGACUUGAGUGCAGAAGAGGACAGUGGAACUCCAUGUGUAGCGGUGGAAUGCGUAGAUAUAUGGAAGAACACCAGUGGCGAAGGCGGCUGUCUGGUCUGCAACUGACGCUGAGGCUCGAAAGCAUGGGUAGCGAACAGGAUUAGAUACCCUGGUAGUCCAUGCCGUAAACGAUGAGUGCUAGGUGUUGGAGGGUUUCCGCCCUUCAGUGCCGGAGCUAACGCAUUAAGCACUCCGCCUGGGGAGUACGACCGCAAGGUUGAAACUCAAAGGAAUUGACGGGGGCCCGCACAAGCGGUGGAGCAUGUGGUUUAAUUCGAAGCUACGCGAAGAACCUUACCAGGUCUUGACAUCUUGCGCUAACCUUAGAGAUAAGGCGUUCCCUUCGGGGACGCAAUGACAGGUGGUGCAUGGUCGUCGUCAGCUCGUGUCGUGAGAUGUUGGGUUAAGUCCCGCAACGAGCGCAACCCUUGUUACUAGUUGCCAGCAUUAAGUUGGGCACUCUAGUGAGACUGCCGGUGACAAACCGGAGGAAGGUGGGGACGACGUCAGAUCAUCAUGCCCCUUAUGACCUGGGCUACACACGUGCUACAAUGGACGGUACAACGAGUCGCAAGCUCGCGAGAGUAAGCUAAUCUCUUAAAGCCGUUCUCAGUUCGGACUGUAGGCUGCAACUCGCCUACACGAAGUCGGAAUCGCUAGUAAUCGCGGAUCAGCAUGCCGCGGUGAAUACAUUCCCGGGCCUUGCACUCACCGCCCGUCA